RNAcentral lists this ribosomal RNA (842 nucleotides) under uncultured Pseudomonadota bacterium. RNAcentral describes it as "bacterial SSU rRNA". The stretch from base 196 to 829 matches the Rfam family "Bacterial small subunit ribosomal RNA", at positions 875 to 1520 of the family's 1533-position model. The record is from RNAcentral. Lineage: Bacteria; Pseudomonadati; Pseudomonadota.
CCUACCACACGACCCCCGAGAGAGCGAGUCUCGGUGGCUGCCUGUCUGCGCGCUCAUUGAGCGUGGGGCUGGGCUCCGCUGGGACUCCACCCCUGAUCGAUCCUUCCGUCGAGCACCCUGGGACACGCGGGGAUCUUGAGGAGAAGCACGUUGCGACCCUGAGAGUGCCAACCCACACGCUAUAAGCACUCGGGCGGGCGGUACCGCCCUCAACCCUGCCAUUCAAAGGGAAUGGACCGGGGACCGGCACAAGCCGGUGGGGCAUGUCGUUCUAAUUCGAAGCAAGGCGAAGAACGUUACCAGGUCUGGACAUCCUCUGACCAUCCUAGAGAUAGGACCUUCCCUUUCGGGGGACAGAGUGACAGUGCGUGCAUGGUUGUCGUCAGCUCGUGUCGUGAGAUGUUGGGUUAAGUCCCGCAACGAGCGCAACCCUUGUCCUUAGUUGCCAGCAUUCAGUUGGGCACUCUAAGGAGACUGCCGGUGUUAAACCGGAGGAAGGCGGGGAUGACGUCAAGUCCUCAUGGCCCUUAUGGGUAGGGCUUCACACGUAAUACAAUGGCGCGUACAGAGGGCUGCUAAGCCGCGAGGUAGAGCCAAUCCCUUAAAGCGCGUCGUAGUCCGGAUUGCAGUCUGCAACUCGACUGCAUGAAGUCGGAAUCGCUAGUAAUCGCGGAUCAGCAUGUCGCGGUGAAUACGUUCCCGGGUCUUGUACACACCGCCCGUCACACCAUGGGAGUGGGUUUCACCAGAAGCCGGUCGCCUAACCGCAAGGAGGGCGCCGACCACGGUGAGAUUCAUGACUGGGAUGAAGUCGUAACAAGGUAAAUCGAAUUCCCGCGGCC